Molecule: ribosomal RNA, 254 nt
Filed under: uncultured bacterium
Lineage: Bacteria
Description: partial 16S ribosomal RNA
Rfam family: Bacterial small subunit ribosomal RNA
Source: RNAcentral
GACGUAGGGUGCGAGCGUUGUCCGGAUUUAUUGGGCGUAAAGAGCUCGUAGGCGGUGUGUCGCGUCGGCCGUGAAAACCUGCAGCUUAACUGUGGGCGUGCGGUCGAUACGGGCAUCACUGGAGUUCGGUAGGGGAGACUGGAAUUCCUGGUGUAGCGGUGAAAUGCGCAGAUAUCAGGAGGAACACCGGUGGCGAAGGCGAGUCUCUGGGCCGAUACUGACGCUGAGGAGCGAAAGCGUGGGGAGCGAACAGG